AUUUUGUAAGUUAGACGUUGGAGUUUGUCAGCAUCGAGUCCUAAAUUGUCCGAAAUGACGCUGAAGGAAGUCGGUGAAACAGACCCCUGUCUCACAGGUUGAGGAACUAUGAAGAAGUCAUAUUUCUCGGGGUUGGUGAUUACGUCGUCCACGACUGUUCCCGGCGGUGACUGUAGAUUGAGAGUGAGAAUGACUCAAGGUUAUGCCAAAGCGUGACGUGGUCGGUGGACUUGUGCGUGUUUCGGUCAGGGUAUAUUUCGGUGGGGCAGACACCCAGCUUAUAUAGGAGAUGUCUCCACUGAAAUUAUGACUUGGUAACGUUACUGCGACGGAGUAUGUUUAGGAAAACUCGCUACUUCGCACGCUUACGAAUGUCUGACGUUUAGCAAACGAGUACAAACAAAAUAUAUUAUUAUUUUGAAA
RNAcentral lists this long non-coding RNA (423 nucleotides) under Neodiprion pinetum (white pine sawfly). RNAcentral's name for it is "uncharacterized LOC124223431". The record is from RNAcentral. Lineage: Eukaryota; Metazoa; Arthropoda; Insecta; Hymenoptera; Diprionidae.